AUUGAACGCUGGCGGCGUGCCUAACACAUGCAAGUCGAGCGGCAGCGCGGGAGCAAUCCUGGCGGCGAGCGGCGGACGGGUGAGUAAUGCUUGGGAAUCUGCCUGUUAGUGGGGGACAACCCGGGGAAACUCGGGCUAAUACCGCAUACGCACUACGGUGGAAAGCCGGGGACCGCAAGGCCUGGCGCUAACAGAUGAGCCCAAGUCGGAUUAGCUAGUUGGUAGGGUAACGGCCACCAAGGCGACGAUCCGUAACUGGUCUGAGAGGACGACCAGUCACACCGGAACUGAGACACGGUCCGGACUCCUACGGGAGGCAGCAGUGGGGAAUAUUGGACAAUGGGGGAAACCCUGAUCCAGCGACGCCGCGUGGGUGAAGAAGGCCUGCGGGUUGUAAAGCCCUUUCAGUGGGGAAGAAAAG
This 421-nucleotide ribosomal RNA is filed under the name uncultured bacterium. RNAcentral describes it as "bacterial SSU rRNA". It matches the Rfam family "Bacterial small subunit ribosomal RNA", at positions 29 to 452 of the family's 1533-position model. The record is from RNAcentral.